Molecule: small RNA, 83 nt
Filed under: Escherichia coli
Lineage: Bacteria; Pseudomonadati; Pseudomonadota; Gammaproteobacteria; Enterobacterales; Enterobacteriaceae
Description: partial RtT sRNA
Rfam family: RtT RNA
About the family: This family represents a bacterial cis-regulatory element known as RtT RNA.
Source: RNAcentral
GAGCGCCAGCGAGAGAGCGUUGCCGCAGGCAACGACCCGAAGGGCGAAGCGCGCAGCGCUGAAUAAUCCUUCCCCCACCACCA